UGAGGAAUAUUGGUCAAUGGGCGGGAGCCUGAACCAGCCAAGCCGCGUGAGGGAUGAAGGCCCUAUGGGUCGUAAACCUCUUUUGUCAGGGAACAAAAGCGAGUAUGUAUACUAGUCUGAGUGUACCUGAAGAAAAAGCAUCGGCUAACUCCGUGCCAGCAGCCGCGGUAAUACGGAGGAUGCGAGCGUUAUCCGGAUUUAUUGGGUUUAAAGGGUGCGUAGGCGGCGGUGCAAGUCAGCGGUAAAAGCCCGGGGGCUCAACCCCGGCGAGCCGUUGAAACUGCAGUGCUAGAGAAGGCGAGAGGUACGCGGAAUGCGCAGUGUAGCGGUGAAAUGCUUAGAUAUUGCGCAGAACUCCGAUUGCGAAGGCAGCGUACUGGCGCCUGACUGACGCUGAGGCACGAAAGCGUGGGGAUCGAACAGGAUUAGAUACC
This 434-nucleotide ribosomal RNA is filed under the name uncultured bacterium. RNAcentral describes it as "bacterial SSU rRNA". It matches the Rfam family "Bacterial small subunit ribosomal RNA", at positions 355 to 786 of the family's 1533-position model. The record is from RNAcentral.